Molecule: long non-coding RNA, 1266 nt
Filed under: Amazona collaria (yellow-billed parrot)
Lineage: Eukaryota; Metazoa; Chordata; Aves; Psittaciformes; Psittacidae
Description: lncRNA (ENSACOG00000001728.1)
Rfam family: mir-133 microRNA precursor family (bases 923-994)
Source: RNAcentral
AUGGGGGGCAGAGUGUGGCUGGGCUGUGGUGACGCUCGUCCCCUCCAUCACCCUGCCCUGGGCACUGUGCUGGGGCUGGGGAGGCCCCUGCAACCCCAACGGGGUCUGAAGCCCCUGAGGUCUCAGCUGAGCCUCCCAUGGGCAAUGGCAACUCCGGCCUCCUCUGUGCAGAGUUGCAGUGUGGGGAGGGGGUGCUGGGUACCCCCGGUGCUGGCCUCAGCGGCACUGAGCUGCAUCCAGUGCUGCGGUGCAUGGGCUGCAGCAGGGAGGGGGACAGGGUGGUGUGGGGUGUCCUGCGGGUGCUGCAGGGUGCUGGGGGCGCAGCUUCAUCCUGACCCAGCACAGCGGCCGUGGUGGGGACCCUGCCAAGAGCCAGGGCCAAUGGGGUCCCACCUCUGCAGGCUCACAGGACAGCCCCAUCUCCUGCCCCACGGCCUGAGAGGGGGCCUCGGACACGUCCUGGAGCACCCCCGCACCCUCAAAGGGCAGCCACCACCCCGGAGUGGGUGCAUCGCCAGCCCGAGCAUCCUCGGGCCGGUGCAGAAGCUGCAUCCCAGGCACGUGCGCUGGCAGCGGCUGUGUCCUGCCCCCCGGGCGCGCAGCUCCCCCUGCUCCAGGGUGGCUGCGGGCACUUCGGGUCCACAGGGGCAGUGCCACCACCGGGGGGGCUGCCCCGGGGGCCGGAGAUGCUUCACCGCGGCCACCGGCUCCUUCCCGGGUCCCGUCACCCGGAGCCGAUGGUGCCCAUCAGCCCCGCACUGCCCUCCUCUCCCUCCCAACCCUACAUACUUCUUCAUAUGCCCAUAUGGAGUCGGCCGGCGUUAUGGAAUGUUAAGAAGUAUGUAUCUUUGGGCUGGGACCCCCGCACCGGGUCCCGCACCGCCAGCACCGGCGCAGGCAGCGCCUCCGGAGAGACGAUGCGUCGCUGGGGCUGGUAAAAAGGAACCAGAUCAACUUGGAACUGGAUUUGGUCCCCUUCAACCAGCUGCAGCGGCGCAUGCGCUACGGCACCCGCUGAACCCGGCCCGCGGGGGGGGGCUGGCUGCGAGCCCCACGCCCCCCAUCCCAUGGUGGGAUCCGGGAGGUAGAAGGGUCCCUAUGGGAGCAGCCCCCGGGUCCGACCGCUGGGGCCGGGGCAGCCGCAGCGCCGCGGGCUCCGGCUCCCGCUGCGGCGGGAGCGGGACCCGGGGGCGGGACCCGGGAGCGGGGCCGGGAAUUGGGGAAAGCGAAACCGUUGGAGCCGCUUCUUGGAAAUUGGCUGCGUGA